This 601-nucleotide long non-coding RNA is filed under the name Fukomys damarensis (Damara mole-rat). Its description in RNAcentral is "lncRNA (ENSFDAG00000022321.1)". The record is from RNAcentral. Lineage: Eukaryota; Metazoa; Chordata; Mammalia; Rodentia; Bathyergidae.
AGCAAAGUAACGAUUCUUUUGCUCCAGUAGCACGAUCAGAGCCCAGCACCCAGCUUUCAGGCAUUCAGAAGCCUUUUGCUCCUGAUGAGAGGGAGGCACAAGUCUUUCUGUCAAUCACUCAGUCUGCAGCAGCAGACAGAAGAAACAGAACAGACAUCUUCUCCCUAAAAGGAUGCCUUUCAGAUAACUUGUGGUUAGGAUGUUGUUUUAGGCUCAAGAAGCGUGAAUUUCAUGUAUUACUGUUUUCUUUUUUGAAGUACUAAGGGAUUGAAACUAGGGCCUUUGCAUUGAGCAACAUCCUCAGUCCUUUAUUAUUUUUAUUUUAAGGUAGGAUCUUACUAAGACACUAAGUUGUCCUGGCUGGGCUCAACAAGAAGACUACAGGCUUGUGCCACCACAUUCACCUGGGUGCUACAUUUUUAUUCCUGUCAUGAGAUGUGAUCCCACUGGAGAUGCAGUGCAGGGAGCCUGAAGGUCACUCUCCAACAUGUGCCACUUCUGCUCCACUGGACUGUGUCACUCAGCACAAAACUGAGCACCUCAAAGUUCUCCAAUGGAAGACUGGAAAUGAAGCAGGAAUCUAGUUUUCCUCCCUCUCCCA